UUAGGUAUUCUUCAUUUUCUUUUGAAAUUUUUCUGGGAUUCUUGUUGUUGAAUGUUAAUGAAAAUGAUAUGAAGAUGAAAAAGAGGAGAAG
RNAcentral lists this microRNA precursor (91 nucleotides) under Medicago truncatula (barrel medic). Its description in RNAcentral is "MIR5298 microRNA precursor family". It matches the Rfam family "MIR5298 microRNA precursor family". The record is from Rfam by way of RNAcentral. Lineage: Eukaryota; Viridiplantae; Streptophyta; Magnoliopsida; Fabales; Fabaceae.